AACAAUUGAAUUCUUCCGGGGGGUAUGGUAAUUAAUUUAUUUUCUCAACUUGUUGUAAGACUAAUAUAUUUCCUUCAGUAGGCACGGCAUGGUGGGAAAGGUUUUUAUUGAAAGAAUUCUGAUAUUUCUUAGACUUUGUUUUGGAAGGGGGUGGAGGGAUUUCUCAUCCAUAUAUGGUUACUUUGGGCGUUCCACUUCCCGGACCAAAAAAUACUACCUCAAAAGUCGUAUUCACAACCCGUUUCAUCGAUGUUUGUGGUAGCAUGGAAGUUGACAGGAAGUUUCAAGUAGCAUGCUUAUCAGAAAAGGAUGCUUGGGAACUGUUUCGAGAAAAAGUUGGGGAAGAAACUCUUCAGAGUGAUCAUGAUAUCGAUGAGCUAGCCCAAAUUGUGGUCAAGAAGAUUUUAUAUCCUGAAGAUUUUGGCAUUCUUAAAUGGGACUUGAUUGAUUGUUGGUUUGGCGAGGGAUUUUUUGGGGAAUCUGAAGGGUUUGGUGCAGAAAACCAAGGAUAUGACAUUUUGGACACUCUUGUUCGUGCAUGUUUAUUAGAAGAGGUGGAAGAUGAUGAAGUAAAAAUGCAUGACGUUAUUAUUGUGGUGCACUUGCAGCAAGAUAACCAGACCGGUAUGUGCUCUUAUAUUAACUAUAUUGACUGGAUUUGUUAGUGUGCGCAUUUUUUUGUGUAUACUCACUUUUGUAUUUAUGCAUAUUAACAUGUGUAGGAUUCUUGAUUUCUGCCACUUACUGGAGAACUAGUGGAAAGCUUUAUACUGAUAUAUCUGCAAUAACUAAUGGAAACUAUGAUAUGAAUAUUUUCUCUCACCUGGGGAGCUGUGUAACAGAUAUACUUUGUGGCUCUGGAAUGCUGAAGAUUCUGCAAUAACUAAUGGAAAAUAUGAUAUGAAUAUUCUGUCUCACCUGGAGAACUUUGUUACAGAUACCCUUUGUGGCUCUGGAAUGUCUAAAGAAUGCUUCAGUUAGAUCAAAUAUCUUUUAGUUAGAAGAGAUAAAAUUCUCUGAGUCUGAAAGACUGAAACAUUUUGCAUAUUUUGUGAAAGGGAAAUAUCUGUUGAUACUAGCUCAUGCAUUGAGGUAAUAUCGAUGUUAAAGAAAAACAGCAAUGAUUUAUGAUAUAGAAUUGGGUUCACUUGCUUUAAAUGCUGGUCUGAUCAACCAUAUCAACCUGUAAUGAUUCUGCAGAAAUAUAUAUACGAGGAGAAAGUAGCUAAAUUUUUCUUUCAUUUAUGGGUUCGGUCUUUUUUCCCCUUAUUUUUCAGCUUGCCUUCUCCUGAAGUAUGUUAACAAUUGCAGAUAAUGAUGAAGAGGACAGCUUCCAGGCUCUCCUUAGAGCCGUGAUGGAAUAUAGGGGCACAAUGAAGGAAUAUUGUAAAGCUGUAGGUACUUUUUCUCCUGUCAUUUAUGUUUUCUUACACAUUUUGUAUAUGCCCUGAACAUGCACCUUUGUAUGUAUCAAUUGACUUUUAAAUUUUAAAAGCCAUAAAGUAAGAAUACGGUUCCUUGUCAGGCUACUGAUGCAUUCGCUCAGGGGGGUCAUGUUCGAGCAGGAAAAUUUCUAGAACAGGUAAGGUUUCCAUCUACAGCCAUCCAUUGACAGCAGAUACAUUUUCAUUCAGCAGACUCUGUUAGCAUUCAAGAUGCUGGCAGAUUCACUUGAUUCUUAUUAGCUUGUUUAGUGGCAAAGCCUAUAACCUGUAUUUCAAAGCCAAGUUGUGCUAUUGAUUAUGUUAACUUUUUUGUUAACAUAAAAUGAUAUGGAGGAAAUAAUCAGUGUUGGAAAAUUAGGUGAAAAGAUGAUGUCAAAUCUUGAACCUCUUACGAAACUCUAAGUUCUUUACUUGAAGAGGCUACCAAAUUUGAACAGCGUCUACUCGAAGGCCUUGCCAUUCCCUGAUGCAUGCAGAAUUUUUGUAUUUAAAUGCCCAGAGCUUAAGAAGCUGCCACUGGAUCUUGAAGGGGCAGACCAAGGUAAAAUUCUUAUCAAGGGAAAGGAAGAUUGGUGGAAACAACUUAAUGGGAGGAUCAAGUAAUUCAGAAUGCAUUGCUUCCAUUUUUUAAAUCGACUGACAAGUGAUUGAACGGGGCAUCAUCAACAUCAUCAACAGGGAUGGAGAGAUGACGGAGCAGAUCAGCAGGGUUUGAAUAUGACCUUUGGCGGUUGCCUUUUUUUUUUGUGAUUUUUUUUCAUUUUUUCCUUCCUGUCAUUUUAUCAUUUCUUUGGCUCUGUUUCUAUUGCGGGUGUUACUGCAUGCUUACUGUUGCUUGACAAAGUUUGCUAGCUUUUUGUUUGCAGUGCUGCUAUACACUCCGAGUCAAGCCCCGAAAAUUUAUUAAACGACGCCGUUUCGACAGUAACAAUUCUAUUCUUUUACCUUUGCCUGUCUCUUUCAUCUGCUGUUUCUCUAUCACUUUUCAUUUUUGAUUUCCUUGCUUCCCAGCUGCCCCUAAAUUGUUAUUCUAGCAAUAUACUUUCUCAUCUUUGAAUUUUCAUCCUUGAGUACUCCCACAGCCGUAAUUUCAUCAUUAUAGACUUCACUUGGAAUGCUGUAUUUUUUCGAUUCCUGAGCUACUUCAAUUACAUCUUAGUAUAGGAUCCUCAUCUUCCUUUAUUUCUUCAUCUUAUGAGGUAACAAAUGGAUUUCACAACUCAUCUACUUUUAAGCAAUUACAUAUUAUACCUCGAAUGAUUCAACUGUUCCGACAGUUAAAGAUUUUAUGCUCAACCUGCAGUGCUACGAACAUUGUCCAUGAAAGAUGAGUUUCAGCAUAUAAAAUGAAAUAUAGAUGUUUAAUCUAAAAUAACCCUUCACUGCCAGAAACCUAGGUCACAAAAUUCACAGAUAAUGAUAAAGAGCUAAAAAAUUUGAAAAACUCUACAGAUCACACAUCAAGCAAGAUAUCAUGUUUGUUUUCCCUCGUUCGGUGGUGAUUGAUUCGUUUUUUGAUGAUGGAUAUGGUAUAAAAGUUUUGACCCAAUUUCAAGCAAACACAAAUAGAAACGCACAAACACAAACACAAUCGGGACUAGAGUUGUGGGCGAUUAUCUCAGGUGUACAAGUGAAACGGUGGUGGCUGUCGAUGGUGGUAGUGGGGUGGUUGGGUAUGCGUGAUGGCUAGAUUUUAGGACAAUAAUGGUUGGAGUUGACCUCAAUCAACGAAGGAAAGUGACAACAAUUUUGACAUCAAACGGUGCAUUUUUUAAGAAGGCUGGACGGAGUGCAAGUGUGGGUUUCGAGGGUGGAUUCUGUUAAAACUGAAGCUGAUCAAUUUAUAAGAGACGGCUCUCGAGAAAUUGAAAAAUUAUGUGUUGGAGGCUACUGUUCCAAGAACUGCAGGUCAAGCUACAAUUUCGGAAAACAAGUGGCUAAAAAGCUACGAGAUGUGGAGACUUUAAUCGCCGAAGGAGUUUUUGAGGCGGUGGCUACCGAGGUGGUGGCUGACAGAGCUCCAGAGUCUGUAGCAGAUGAAAGACCUACUGAGCGAACAGUAGUAGGCUUGCAAUCACAACUUGAACAAGUCUGGAGAUGUCUUGUAGAAGAAUCAGCGGGAAUCAUUGGCCUAUAUGGUAUGGGCGGUGUUGGUAAAACUACACUACUGACCCAUAUCAACAAUAAAUUUCUCGAGAGUCCAACCAACUUUGAUUGUGUGAUUUGGGUUGUAGUUUCAAAAGACCUGCGACUCGAAAAAAUUCAAGAAGAUAUUGGGAAAAAGAUAGGUUUGGUUGGUGAUUCAUGGAAGAGUAAAAGUGUAGAGGAGAAAGCUGUCGACAUCUUCCGGAGUUUAAGAGAGAGAAGAUUUGUAUUGUUGUUAGAUGAUAUAUGGGAGCGGGUUGAUUUAACAAAGGUGGGCGUUCCACUUCCCGGACCAAAAAAUACUACCUCAAAAGUCGUAUUCACAACCCGUUUCAUCGAUGUUUGUGGUAGCAUGGAAGUUGACAGGAAGUUUCAAGUAGCAUGCUUAUCAGAAAAGGAUGCUUGGGAACUGUUUCGAGAAAAAGUUGGGGAAGAAACUCUUCAGAGUCAUCAUGAUAUCGUUGAGCUAGCCCAAAUUGUGGUCAAAGAGUGUGGUGGUUUGCCACUCGCACUUAUUACUAUUGGUCGAGCUAUGGCCUACAGAAAGAAAGCGGAGCAGUGGAGACGUGCAAUUGAAGAGUUAAGGAGAUCAGCUUCAGAGUUUGCAGGUUUGGGAAAAGAGGUGUAUCCUCUUUUAAAAUUCAGCUAUGAUAGUUUGCAGAAUGAUACGGUUAGAUCUUGUUUCUUGUACUGUUGUUUAUAUCCUGAAGAUUGGAAUCUCACAGCUUUGGUGCAGAAAACCAAGGAUACUACAUUGUGGGCACUCUUGUUCGUGCAUGUUUAUUAGAAG
This 4380-nucleotide long non-coding RNA is filed under the name Citrus sinensis (sweet orange). RNAcentral's name for it is "long non-coding RNA (CSIN_LNC005272)". The record is from RNAcentral. Lineage: Eukaryota; Viridiplantae; Streptophyta; Magnoliopsida; Sapindales; Rutaceae.